AUGAGGUUGGUUUAUUUUGG
Molecule: microRNA, 20 nt
Filed under: Oryza sativa (Asian cultivated rice)
Lineage: Eukaryota; Viridiplantae; Streptophyta; Magnoliopsida; Poales; Poaceae
Also listed under: 1 other name
Description: osa-miR1862g
Source: miRBase by way of RNAcentral